GUUUCCUAGUUCCAAGUGCUUUCUGCUAGAGCAUGAGUUUCCAGGAUGGCUUCUGCAUCAACUUCUAAAUAUAAUUCACACUCCUUGGAGAAUGAGUCUAUUAAGAGGACGUCUCGAGAUGGAGUCAAUCGGGAUCUCACUGAGGCUGUUCCUCGACUUCCGGGAGAAACACUAAUCACUGACAAAGAAGUUAUUUACAUAUGUCCUUUCAAUGGCCCCAUUAAGGGAAGAGUUUACAUCACAAAUUAUCGUCUUUAUUUAAGAAGUUUGGAAACGGAUUCUUCUCUAAUACUUGAUGUUCCUCUGGGUGUGAUCUCGAGAAUUGAAAAAAUGGGAGGCGCGACAAGUAGAGGAGAAAAUUCCUAUGGUCUAGAUAUUACUUGUAAAGUA
Molecule: long non-coding RNA, 390 nt
Filed under: Pan troglodytes (chimpanzee)
Lineage: Eukaryota; Metazoa; Chordata; Mammalia; Primates; Hominidae
Description: long non-coding RNA NONPTRT018384
Source: RNAcentral